CUGGCCAGGCUGGUCUCGAACUCCUGACCCCAGGAGAUCUGCCUGCCUCGGCCUCCCAAAGUGCUGGGAUUACAACACUUUUUUUUUUUUUUUUUUUUUUUUUUGAGACGGAGUCUCACUCUGUCGCCUAGGCUACAGUGCAGUCGCGCGAUCUUGGCUCACUGCAACCUGCUCCUCCCGGCUUCAAGCGAUUCUCCUUGAAUCGCUUCCCAAGUAGCUGGGAUUACAGGCGCCUGCCACCAUGUCUGCUAAUUUUUGUAUUUUUAGUAGAGACUAAAACCAACAUGAUUGGUCAGGCUGAUAUUGAAUUCCUGACCUCAAGUGGUCUGCCCGCCUCAGCCUCCCAAAAGGAAUGGAAUCUUAAAAAAAAAAAAAACAGUGAUGGGAACAGGAUCUCACUAUGUUGCCCAGGCUGGUCUUGAACUCCUCCUGACUGAACCUCCCAAACUGCUGGGAUUACAGGUAUGAGCCACCAUGCCUGGCCAAAAGUCCCUCAACUUUCUGUUUUAAAAAUUGCCACCAGACUUUUCUGCAAUGUCACCUGAAGGGUUCCUGGUCUCACACAAUGCCCACCCCUAAAACACAGCAGCCUAGGCCACCACGUUCUGCCAGGCGAGGUGUGUGGUAGGAAGAGGGCAGGCAGCUCUGGCCUCAGGCACAAAGGGCUGAGUCCUGGGUCCUGGGGACAGGCACUGGCAAUUGAAUCUGGACACUGAGCACUGGGUCCUAACACAAGAAAUCAUUUCCUGGCUCAGGGCAGUGAUCUCUGGGUCCUAAAAACUAGGACCAGAGCAGAGACCAUAGGUCCCUUAUCUCUGGGCGGAGGGUGCUGGGCUAAGUGGCAGUCACCCAAGGCAGGGCCAGGGGUAAGGAGAUGCCCAGCCCCCAGUUGUUUUGUAACAGCUGCUGGACUGGGCUGGAGGGGAAAUUUAAGGAACCAGGGGGUGAGGUAAGGAGGAAGAGGUCAGUGGGCAGGGCAAGGCCACUCGGGCAUGCUGGAUUGGUCCCAGGCCCUGGAGGGCGAGAGAAAGACAGUGGCUGGAUCUCUAGGGCUCUCAUUGGCAGACACUGGGGCCCCAGGAACUAGGGCAAGAAGAGUGGUGAGGAUAGCAGGGAGUGUGUGCUACCCCCUACCCCCAACCCCCCUCUUUGUACCCUCCCCCCUUUGUCAACCUCCUGGCUCCGCUCCCAGGCCGAGGCAGCUGGAGUGAUUAGUGUGGGUGAAGGAGUACAAAUGCCAAAGGCUUGUCUCACGUCUCAGAACACAGGGAUCCAGCCAGAGUGGAUGGCACAACUGAGUGAGAAAUGGAGACCGAGAGAUAAACAGAAAUAAACAGGGACAACACCAAAGAGAUAGAGGAGAGAAGCAGGGCGGGAGACAAAAGAAGAGACCAAAGGCCCACACAGAGCAAGGGGGUUGUGGGGAGGGAGGGUUCAGUAGCUACAGGGCAGGCUGACCUUUUCCUGUCUCUUCUCUGACCCCGUCCUGUCUGAGUUCCCCUCCGCUGUGUCCCUAUCCCAGGCUUUCUCAACCUCAGCACUGUUGACAUUUGGGGCAGGAUAAUCUUGGAUGGUGGGGGUGGGUGGGUGGGUGGGGGGUGUUCUGUGCCCUGUAGGAUGUUUAGCAGCCUCCUUGGCCCUUAUCCACCACAUGCCAUUGGCACUCCCCCAACUCCUCUGCUCUUGUGACAAUCCAAACUGCCUCCAGAUAUUGCCGGAUGUUUCCUGGGAAGGGAUUGCUCCUGACUGAGAACUGUCCCCAGGUAGGUUCAUGUUCUUGAGAAGAGGCUACCCCAGGGUGUCUGGCUGGUUCUCCCUUCGGCCCGUGUGCACAGGGCCCCCUGGCUCUAGCAUGGCUUAAGUUGCCCUAAGUCAGAAGCCGGGGAAACUAGGAGAGCCACUGAGACUGAAGAGCAGUCUAGGUACAGCAGUAACGAAGUCCCUGCCCUCAUGGAGCUUCUGUUCUUAUUCCACCCAAAAGGCAUCCCAGGUGUGUUUUGGGAUGUGCUAGGGGUGUUUCAUGAGUGGGUGUGCACUCUCGUCUCUAAGGGAGGAAGAAGAGAUGGGCCCCCAAGUAUGUCUGGACAAGAUACAGGUGGAGUCUUGUUCUGUUUCCCAGGCUGGAGUGCAGUGGUGCUGAGGCAGGAGAAUAGGGUCUAGAGGCAGGAAACCUAAGGCUGAUUCACACUGACUUCCUAGAGCUAAAUCAAAUGGAAACACUUCAGCUAUGACAGGAAAUAUCCUUUCCAUUUACAUAGGGGUACACCAAGUAACCAAUGGAAACCUCUAGAGAGUAUUGAAACCCCAGAAAAUUCUGUAAUAGGGCUCUUCAGCCCCUUUGUCAGCCUGCCCCCACACUGUGGAGUGUACUUUCAUUUUCAAUAAAUCUCUUUUUUUGUUGCUUCAUCCUUUCCUUGCUUUGUGUGUUUUAUCCAAUUCUUUGUUCAAGACGCCAAGAACCUAGACACCUCCAACCGGUAACAGUGCGAUUUGGGCUCACUGCAA
This 2505-nucleotide long non-coding RNA is filed under the name Homo sapiens (human). RNAcentral describes it as "HSALNT0004898". Lineage: Eukaryota; Metazoa; Chordata; Mammalia; Primates; Hominidae. The record is from RNAcentral.